GAUGAACGCUGGCGGCGUGCCUAAUACAUGCAAGUCGAACGAGAGUCUUAGGACUCUAGUGGCGAACGGGUGAGUAACACGUAGGUAAUCUACCUUUAAGACGAGGAUAACGUCUGGAAACGGACGCUAAUACUGGAUAGUACAUUCUGUUGCAUGAUAGAGUGUUUAAAGAUGCCCCAAAGCAUUACUUAAAGAGGAGCCUGCGGCGCAUUAGCUAGUUGGUGGGGUAAAGGCCUACCAAGGCGACGAUGCGUAGCCGGACUGAGAGGUUGAACGGCCACAUUGGGACUGAGACACGGCCCAAACUCCUACGGGAGGCAGCAGUAGGGAAUUUUCGGCAAUGGGGGAAACCCUGACCGAGCAACGCCGCGUGAAUGAAGAAGUAUUUCGGUAUGUAAAAUUCUUUUAUUAGGGAAGAACGAUUUUAGUAGGAAAUGACUAGAAAGUGACGGUACCUAAUGAAUAAGUCCCGGCUAACUACGUGCCAGCAGCCGCGGUAAUACGUAGGGGACGAGCGUUAUCCGGAAUUAUUGGGCGUAAAGGGUGCGUAGGCGGUAUAUUAAGUCUGAGGUUAAAGUGCGGUGCUCAACGCCGUGAAGCCUUGGAAACUGGUAUACUUGAGUUUGGUAGAGGUAAGUGGAAUUCCAUGUGUAGCGGUAAAAUGCGUAAAUAUAUGGAGGAACACCAGUGGCGAAGGCGGCUUACUGGACCAGAACUGACGCUGAGGCACGAAAGCGUGGGGAGCAAACAGGAUUAGAUACCCUGGUAGUCCACGCCGUAAACGAUGAGUACUAAGUGUUGGGAAGACCCAGUGCUGAAGUUAACGCAUUAAGUACUCCGCCUGAGUAGUACGCACGCAAGUGUGAAACUCAAAGGAAUUGACGGGACCCCGCACAAGCGGUGGAGCAUGUUGUUUAAUUCGAAGAUACGCGAAGAACCUUACCAGGUCUUGACAUACUCAGCAAAGCUAUAGAGAUAUAGUGGAGGAUAACUGAGAUACAGGUGGUGCAUGGUUGUCGUCAGCUCGUGUCGUGAGAUGUUGGGUUAAGUCCCGCAACGAGCGCAACCCUUGUUGCUAGUUACCAUCAUUAAGUUGGGGACUCUAGCGAGACUGCCAGUGAUAAACUGGAGGAAGGUGGGGAUGACGUCAAAUCAUCAUGCCCCUUAUGACCUGGGCUACAAACGUGCUACAAUGGCCAUUACAAAGGGAAGCGAAGCCGCGAGGUGGAGCAAAACCCAUAAAGGUGGUCUCAGUUCGGAUUGGAGUCUGCAACUCGACUCCAUGAAGUUGGAAUCGCUAGUAAUCGCGAAUCAGAAUGUCGCGGUGAAUACGUUCUCGGGGUUUGUACACACCGCCCGUCAAACCAUGGGAGUUUGUAAUACCCGAAGCCGGUGGCCUAACUGAAAAGAGGGAGCCGUCUAAGGUAGGACAGAUGACUGGGGUU
RNAcentral lists this ribosomal RNA (1445 nucleotides) under uncultured Bacillota bacterium. RNAcentral's name for it is "bacterial SSU rRNA". It matches the Rfam family "Bacterial small subunit ribosomal RNA". The record is from RNAcentral. Lineage: Bacteria; Bacillati; Bacillota.